UGGGGUGCCUGGUGGCAAAGAUGGGGGGGGGACUGUGCGCCCCAGCAGGCCCACUAAAUCCUGGGUGUCUAUCCCUAAAAAUCGAGGUCCCAUGUCAUGUUUCCGGGGUGCCCUGUGCUUGUGCAACAUGGGCGCGUGGUGCGAACCAACGUGCGUGGCACCCUAGGCCUCAGUGGUAGUGGAGGGACCUGUGCUCAGUUAGAGGGUUACAAGGUAGACGCAUCCCGGCCGACUGAGUUAAGGCGCAGGUAGCUGGGUAGAGGGUCCUCACAGGGACCUACUUGCCAAGCAGGGGACAGUCCCCUGGAUCUGCUCGGGCGGAGCGCGCAGCCUCCACCUGCCUAAGCAGGCAGGGCGGGCUGCGAGGCACCUCGAAUAGCAGCCAGAUAGAUCUUACUAAGUGCUCCUAACCUCUGCUUUGCCUGGGAUCUCCUAGCAGCCUUUGGGGGGCCACCAGGUGCACAAUGAAGGGAAGGCUGGCUUGGCCACGCCAGAUCUGGGCCCCGCGUGGAGCCCCCGCACAAUGUCUGCGCCCUUCAGCAGAAAAAGAAGCAGGGCGGGAAAUGUAGCUCAAACCAGACCUGUAAACCAGAGCUCACUGAAGUGCUUCUAAGCGGCGCGCCUUUGGGACCCCACCCAGUAUGUGCAGAUAACAGUUCCCUGUCCUCAGCACUUUGAAUUUGCUUAGUUGCAGGUUCGGCCCCAGGGGCCAAUGCGAUAAUUUGGGGCUAUUAAGAAACUCUCCCCGGGUGGUUUCAGAUAUAAGAAGCCAUUGUGAUUUUUACCAAGUCAAAAUCACUCCUAAACCGGUGCACCUCGUUUCCCUCUCCCGACCUCCGCACCUCUAGGCCUCUAAGGGGCCACUACUGGCGGAAACCGGUGCACCCGGGGCUAACCUCCGGGCCGGACCAUCAAUCACCGCGCCGGCGCUCUACACUCGCUUCCCCAAGCCCUCGACCUGUAGGGUUGGAGGCUCCAAGCCGCCCGAGCGCUCUGCCCUUCCCGCUUCCUGGCGGCCCAGGCGCUUUCCCUAUCACCGCGUUGUUUGCAGAGUGCACACAAAGUGGCGCGCGUUUCGGAGCGCCCAGCCCAAAGGAGCGUGGCCGCCGAGGGAGAAGCCAGCAGCCUGCUCCCGCGCUACUCCGCAGCAGCCCUGAGGACAAACUGCGAGGGAGCCGGUGUCCCGCAGUGGAAGAGCUGGGACACGAGGGAGCGCGCCACGGGGAGCUCACCACAAGGCCGAAGGUCGGGUCCGCUGGCGCAGGAGGAUCGGAGGAGCAGGGCGGGAGAGCGGAUGAAGUGGGAGCUGCUGAAGUGGACGCUGCUGAAGAGGUCUAUGGAGAAGCUGCUGACUCACACCCCGGAGAUGAACUCCUGGACUUUGCCAGGGUCCCCAGCAUGCUCUUCCUCAUGCCUGUGAUGGGUGCCUGCCACAGAGGACACACUCAACUGGGCUGCGAUCUUGGACACCACAUAGGGACUCCACACCAGGAAGACCCAAGCAAUGCUCUGUGCCAAUCUGCAAGCCUGGGAAGAAGUCACUACCUGAACCACCAACAUGAGGAUUGCACCAAACUGAUCAACACAACCCACACCAAAAAUUCUUUCCUCAUCUGGAACCCUGCCUUUCCCGCUGGAGCUGUCUGACCUUCCCCCUUCCCCAGCACUUGCUACCUUUGCCCCUGGACUCCCAGGAGCAUUACAGAGACUGCUGCCUCAUGUCUGCUUGGCUUACACCCCUUGUUCCCAAGGAGUAACACCUGGAGUGCACCUGAAUCCCGGAUACUGUGACUGACUAGACUUCCUAGCCUUGGCUGGUUCCUUGGCUGAGUCUUGCAUUUGCAGGAGCUCUCAUGUUCCUGUGCUAGAGAUACCUCUGUUCUGCUGUAUACCUGAAGGACACUCACCUCUGAGGAAGGACUGGGGCUGGUGGGAGGUUUCUGAGGUUUCAUUCAGUUCUGGGAGCGUGGGGAUCUCCUGGGCCACAGGCCACAGCACUUGGGCACGGGGCUGGAGUCUCGGGAUGCUCUGGUCUGUUUCUUCUCAGGUUCUGCCUCAGGCUUCAGCUCGGGCUCAGGUUCAGGCUCGGGCUUCAGCUCAGGCCUCGGUGGCAGAGGCCUCGGCUCGGGCCUUGGUGGCAGAGGCCUCAACUCAGGCCUUGGUGGCAGAGGCCUCAGCUCAGGCCUUGGUGGCAAGGGCCUCAGCUCAGGCCUCAGUAGCAGAGGUCUCAGCUCAGGCCUCGGUGGCACAGGCCUCGGUUCAGACCUCAGUAGCAGAGGUCUCAGCUCAGGCCUCGGUGGCAGAGGCCUCCGCUCAGGCCUAGGUGGAACAGGCCUUGGCUCAGGCCUUGGUGGUACAGGCCUUGGCUCAGGCCUAGGUGGUACAGGCCUCGGCUCAGGCUUUGGUGGCUCAGGCCUUGGCUCAGGCUUAGGUGGCUCAGGCCUUGGCUCAGACUUAGGUGGCUCAGGCCUUGGCUCAGGCUUAGGUGGCUCAGGCCUCGGCUCAGGCUUAGGUGGCUCAGGCCUUGCCUCAGGCUUAGGUGGCUCAGGCCUGGGCUCAGGCUUAGGUGGCUCAGGCCUCAGCUCAGGCCUUGGUGGCACAGGCCUGGACUUAGGCUUCUGCGGCUCUGGCUGGGUGAGAAGUUUAGCCUUAGGAGACUCAGAACCCUGGGUUAGGGGCCUGCAGUCGUCGUAGUCGUUCUCCUCUUCCUCCUCCUCCUCUUGCACAGUGAGCUCUGUUUUAAUUACUCGUCCCCUGAGGAGGAGAAGCAAAAAUCCUUGAGAUUAUCUCAAAAACAAGUCUUCUCCAGCUGAGUCUGGCCCCCUCCCCCCACCUUGCUGCUGGAUGGGGAAGCCCAAGGGUCACCUUGUCAUGGUUGGAGCACAACCCCCUACCCUGUCCCUUCAGCUGCCUACUCUCCCCACCCCCUUCUCAGUAGAAGGGAGGAAGCAGUUGGUGAGAAGUCACUUUGCCAAGUUUGACAACUGUUCAGGGAGAGGCAGGAGACCCUCCUUUGGGAAGGACAAUCUGGCUCCUGCCUGGCUGGGGGCGGGGGUGGUGGUGGUGUAAAACUGCUGCUGCACACAAAAGGCUUUCUUUGAGGGGGUCACAGCUAAAAAUGUGAAUCUCUCCCAUUCCUCUCCUCACACUUCUUCCUUGGAUGGGAACAAAAAACAAAGGGCACAUGGCUCUGCCUUAGGAAGGCAACUUCUGGAAGGGGUGGCAAGGCUUCUCCCCAUAAACAUUAUACCGGGUGGAUUAAGGAGUCUGGGAUCCCAGUUGCAGGGAAGAAAAGCUUUGUGCACAAAUGAAUGUGCACCUGGGAGUGCUGAGGCUGCUGCUCCAAAUUCCUGCCUGUGCACAGGGAACACUGCUCCAGAAUCUCUGGCCCCUCUGCACAGUUUAGCCGGGAGCGGGGUGGGGGUGGGGGGAGGAGCAGGGGCGGGGGUCAUACACCAGGGGGAAAAUUUUCACACAGAAAAAUUUCACAUUUGCAAAAACAGCUGUGUACUCCUGCUGGGAAGAGAAAGAGCGCUGCCUCUCCCCUUUGCAUGGUAGAUUAGCGAAAGAAACCAUGCUUUCCUUGUAGCUUUGAGCAGCCCUGUAAGUCCCAGUCCCAGUCCCAGUUGUCCUUUUGUCCCCUCAGAAGUUGAAGUCACUCUUAAGACCGUCCCGUCCGGUUUAGCGGCAACCUUCCCCCUCUUCAGAGACUAACUGAAGGAUCCUAACUCUCCCAAGUCCCCAGCCAUCUACCCACACCAGAAUAUUUAAACUGCACCUUCACUCAUACACAAAAGGCAUGAACAAGGGGAAAUCAAUUAGUUACCUGUACUCUAGUCGCUUCGUAGUUCCUGAAGUUCCCGGACGGUGGAUAAAGAGGACCGGGGAGUCACUGGUGCCCAAGAUUCUCUUCCGAAAUUGCCCGGACGAUGAUCCGCUGGCUGGGUCAAUAUUAGCAGCCCCCUCCAAAGCAGGGGGUGCUCUGGUUGUGGUGCCCGGGCCCUCCAGCCGGGGCGACGAUGUUGCGGCGGGGCUGGAAGGGCUGGAAGGGGCUGAGUCUGAGUCUGAAGAGACGGUGAGAGGGAGUUUUAGAGCAUGCAUGAUAACAGAGCCCCUAGAAGUGGCUUCUGCUCUCCACCACCGAGUAAGGCACCUGCUCGAACGACACCACGCUUUUAUCCCUCACCUCGUCCCUUCCACGCCCACUUCCAGCCCCCUCCAAAUUUGGGAAAUGAUAUGCCAGUAAAGUACUGCAAAGACUUAUGGGUCAGCUGGCUAUGGCGCUUUCCCACACUAGGGUAUGGGGGCAUUAGAGGGUGGGGCUUUGGCCCCUGCCUGACAGACAGGAAGGCGUCUAUGUAGGUUUGAAUUAAGCUAGAAGCACUUCCUGUUAGCUAGGGGGUAGGGACUAUGUGCAGGGGUGGGGAGUGGGUGGGGCUUCACUGGAUUGACACCUGGCAGUCACCUGACACCUGGAAUGUCUGUGGGCGUGGCACAGGUAAAAAGGGGCGUGGCUUAUGCAAAUUAGGGUCCGGAUUUAAAAUAAAUAUUAUAAUUACGUUCUAAGGUC
Molecule: long non-coding RNA, 4570 nt
Filed under: Mus caroli (Ryukyu mouse)
Lineage: Eukaryota; Metazoa; Chordata; Mammalia; Rodentia; Muridae
Description: insulin-like growth factor 2, opposite strand (MGP_CAROLIEiJ_G0004091.1)
Source: RNAcentral